Molecule: ribosomal RNA, 426 nt
Filed under: uncultured Prochlorococcus sp.
Lineage: Bacteria; Bacillati; Cyanobacteriota; Cyanophyceae; Synechococcales; Prochlorococcaceae
Description: bacterial SSU rRNA
Rfam family: Bacterial small subunit ribosomal RNA
Source: RNAcentral
CUGGCGGCGUGCUUAACACAUGCAAGUCGAACGAACCUUCGGGUUAGUGGCGGACGGGUGAGUAACGCGUGAGAAUCUGCCCUCAGGAGGGGGAUAACGGUUGGAAACGACCGCUAAUACCCCAUAUGCCUAUUGGUGAAAUGAACUUCGCCUGAGGAUGAGCUCGCGUCUGAUUAGCUAGUUGGUGAGGUAAUGGCUCACCAAGGCUUCGAUCAGUAGCUGGUCUGAGAGGAUGAUCAGCCACACUGGGACUGAGACACGGCCCAGACUCCUACGGGAGGCAGCAGUGGGGAAUUUUCCGCAAUGGGCGAAAGCCUGACGGAGCAACGCCGCGUGAGGGACGAAGGCCUCUGGGCUGUAAACCUCUUUUCUCAAGGAAGAAGAUAUGACGGUACUUGAGGAAUAAGCCACGGCUAAUUCCGUGCC